CUGUAUGGGAGGGCCAUCGCUCAAAGGAUAAAAGGUACUCUGGGGAUAACAGGCUGAUCUCCCCCAAGAGCUCAUAUCGACGGGGAGGUUUGGCACCUCGAUGUCGGCUCGUCACAUCCUGGGGCUGGAGAAGGUCCCAAGGGUUGGGCUGUUCGCCCAUUAAAGUGGCACGCGAGCUGGGUUCAGAACGUCGCGAGACAGUUCGGUCCCUAUCUGCUGUGGGCGCAGGAAGUCUGCGCGGGUCUGUCCUUAGUACGAGAGGACCGGGAUGGACAUACCUCUGGUUUGCCAGUUAUGCCGCCAGGUGUACCGCUGGGUAGCUACGUUUGGCCGGGAUAAGCGCUGAAAGCAUCUAAGCGCGAAACCCGCCGCAAGAUUAGACUUCCAUUAUAGGGUUGUAGUAGACCACUACGUUGAUAGGCUGCAGGUGUAGAGGUAGAGAUACCACAGCCGAGCAGUACUAAUUUCCCGAAUUCAUAUUUU
RNAcentral lists this ribosomal RNA (483 nucleotides) under Klebsiella pneumoniae. RNAcentral's name for it is "partial 23S ribosomal RNA". It matches the Rfam family "Bacterial large subunit ribosomal RNA", at positions 2429 to 2925 of the family's 2925-position model. Lineage: Bacteria; Pseudomonadati; Pseudomonadota; Gammaproteobacteria; Enterobacterales; Enterobacteriaceae. The record is from RNAcentral.